GCACCCGCACAAGCGGUGGAGCAUGCUGUUUAAUUCGAAGAUACGCGAAGAACCUUACCUGGGCUUGACAUCCCUCUGACCAUUCUAGAAAUAGAAUUUUCCCUUCGGGGACAGGGGUGACAGGUGGUGCAUGGUUGUCGUCAGCUCGUGUCGUGAGAUGUUCGGUUAAGUCCGAUAACGAGCGCAACCCUUGUCCUUAAUUGCUAACAUUAAGUUGAGAACCUUAAGGAGACCGCCGGUGAUAAACCGGAGGAAGAUGGGGAUGACGUCAAAUCAUCAUGCCCCUUACGUCCAGGGCUACAGGCGUGCUACAAUGGCUGGUAUAAUAAGAUGCAAUAUCGUGAGAUGGAGCAAAUCUCUAAAGCCAGUCCCAGUCCGGAUUGGAGUCUGCAACUCGACUCCAUGAAGUUGGAAUCGCUAGUAAUCCCGAAUCAGAAUGUCGGGGUGAAUACGUUCCCGGGUGUU
RNAcentral lists this ribosomal RNA (465 nucleotides) under uncultured bacterium. Its description in RNAcentral is "bacterial SSU rRNA". It matches the Rfam family "Bacterial small subunit ribosomal RNA", at positions 917 to 1382 of the family's 1533-position model. The record is from RNAcentral.